UACGUAGGGUGCAAGCGUUAAUCGGAAUUACUGGGCGUAAAGGGUGCGCAGGCGGUUCUGUAAGUCAGAUGUGAAAUCCCCGGGCUUAACCUGGGAAUUGCGUUUGAAACUACAGAGCUGGAGUGUGGCAGAGGGGGGUGGAAUUCCAUGUGUAGCAGUGAAAUGCGUAGAGAUAUGGAAGAACAUCGAUGGCGAAGGCAGCCCCCUGGGAUAACACUGACGCUCAUGCACGAAAGCGUGGGGAGCAAACAGG
This 253-nucleotide ribosomal RNA is filed under the name uncultured bacterium. Its description in RNAcentral is "partial 16S ribosomal RNA". It matches the Rfam family "Bacterial small subunit ribosomal RNA", at positions 524 to 776 of the family's 1533-position model. The record is from RNAcentral.